This 1636-nucleotide long non-coding RNA is filed under the name Mus musculus (house mouse). RNAcentral's name for it is "long non-coding RNA chr3:151543444-151545080". The record is from RNAcentral. Lineage: Eukaryota; Metazoa; Chordata; Mammalia; Rodentia; Muridae.
UGUGAGAUAAAAUUAUGGACCAGAGAGCUACAGUGUGUUUUCUUACAUGACAUAGUUAGAGAUAUGUCAAAAAUAGUACUGCAGAUAUUUGGAAAGUAAUUGGUUUCUCUGGAGUGAUAUCACUGUGCCCAAGGAAAGAUUUCUUUCUAACACGAGAAAUAUAUGAAUGUCCUCAAGGAAACCACUGGCUUGAUAUCUUUGUGACUCAUGUUGCCUUUCAAACGAGUUCCCUACCACCUUAGUAAUGAGUUCCUUUGCAGGAAGGAGAGCAUAAGAGACGUGGAGGGGCAGAGUAUGAAGCAGUGACGAAGGCUUCUCUGACAAGGAAUUGUCAUUCCAAUAAACUCAGCUUCUCUAAACUUGAUGAGAAAAUCUCAAGAUAAAAUAACGAGAAAGGAAAUAUAUCCUAGCAGUUUGGGAAUUGGUCUGAAGUAAAAAGCCCCAGAUCUAAAUUUGCUACAUCCAUGUUCUUCCUUACUCUUCUAAAACCAGAGAAAAGCCUUACAACUGACAUUAUCAGAGAUGGAUGCUCUUACACUAACAUUAGAUUUGAGUGUAAAAUGUUUUCAUUCCACACAGAUUAAGACUUCAAAUAUGUAGUCAGUAAAACAUAGAUUUGUCAAAGUAUAAUACUGUUUAUGUCUUUAGUGAAAAGAAUGUGUGCAGUAUUUUGUCUAUAAUAUUUUACUGUUAUGAAAAUUACCUUUUAAUAUUAAAUCAGUAUACUUGAAUACUUUGCUGUUUUUAAUCUUACAAAUAGUGUAAUUCAUGUUGCAACAGGCCCUUUUAAUUGACUGUACAUAAAAGGUCAUUAUAAAUUUAAAGUAUUGAUGAAGUGAAUUAUAAUUCUUUUCUGAUCAGAAAAUACACAAUUAAAGCAUUAUUUAUAACAAAUAAGAAGUCACUGAGUGCUGUAGGGGUUUCACAGUGGGUCUAGUUUUAGACUGUUUCUACUAUCUCUCAAAGUCUAUUGGCUCAAAUGUAUGGCUCUAUCUAUUCUCUUGUUCAAAUGAAGAGGCAGAUUUUUUUUCAGAAGUGAGUCAUUGUUCUGAACCUUCCUGAAAGCAUAAUUCAAUCUACUGGACAUUGCAAUUUUAAUUCUUGUGCUGUUGAAUGAAGCCUGUCGAGACCUCUCCUGAAAAAUGAACAGUCAGCUGGAUGAAGCAGCCCUAUCGCUGCCUGACCGAGUUGUUCUCUCAGGAGAGACCACUCACCUGUCAAGAAGGGCUUUGCAUUUCUAGAGCCUGUGAGAUGGUACACUUUGACUAAAUCUCUGGAUUUCUUCUGUGCUAAGUCUGUGGCCCAUGACUGCCAUUGUCAUUCUGGGUUGGGACUGUAGAAAUAGGAUAUCAAAACCUAGUCUGCUCAAUCAGUGGAUAUGAAACUAUUGCACGUGGUAGACAGAGUGACCCUCCACAAAUAUCUGUACGCUCCUCUUCAGAGCCUGUGGCUGUGGUGGAUGGCGAGGAGCAGGAGGGCCCUGUGGGGAGGGAGGGUAGCUGACCUCCACUCAGUUGGAGCACUCUCACUACCCUGAGGGAAGUCAGCAUGCUGCUGAUGUAUUUCAGUGUGGGUCUCCUGGUUUGGAACUCUCAUUUCUAGAGCUACAAGACAAUAAAAUUCUAUUAUCAAAGCC